RNAcentral lists this ribosomal RNA (453 nucleotides) under uncultured bacterium. RNAcentral's name for it is "bacterial SSU rRNA". It matches the Rfam family "Bacterial small subunit ribosomal RNA", at positions 340 to 786 of the family's 1533-position model. The record is from RNAcentral.
UACGGAAGGCAGCAGUGGGGAAUAUUGCACAAUGGGCGCAAGCCUGAUGCAGCCAUGCCGCGUGUAUGAAGAAGGCCUUCGGGUUGUAAAGUACUUUCAGUCGUGAGGAAGGUGUUAAGGUUAAUAACCUUAGCAAUUGACGUUAGCGACAGAAGAAGCACCGGCUAACUCCGUGCCAGCAGCCGCGGUAAUACGGAGGGUGCGAGCGUUAAUCGGAAUUACUGGGCGUAAAGGGCACGCAGGCGGUUAAUUAAGUUGGAUGUGAAAAUCCCCGGGCUUAACCUGGGAAUGGCAUUCAAGACUGGUUAGCUAGAGUCUUGUAGAGGGGGUAGAAUUCCAUGUGUAGCGGUGAAAUGCGUAGAGAUGUGGAGGAAUACCGGUGGCGAAGGCGGCCCCUGGACAAAGACUGACGCUCAUGUGCGAAAGCGUGGGGAGCAAACAGGAUUAGAUACC